This 498-nucleotide ribosomal RNA is filed under the name uncultured bacterium. RNAcentral describes it as "partial 16S ribosomal RNA". It matches the Rfam family "Bacterial small subunit ribosomal RNA", at positions 29 to 523 of the family's 1533-position model. The record is from RNAcentral.
AUUGAACGCUGGCGGCAUGCCUUACACAUGCAAGUCGAACGGUAACGCGGGGCAACCUGGCGACGAGUGGCGAACGGGUGAGUAAUGUAUCGGAACGUGCCCAGUUGUGGGGGAUAACUGCUCGAAAGAGCAGCUAAUACCGCAUACGACCUGAGGGUGAAAGCGGGGGAUCGCAAGACCUCGCGCAAUUGGAGCGGCCGAUAUCAGAUUAGGUAGUUGGUGGGGUAAAGGCUCACCAAGCCGACGAUCUGUAGCUGGUCUGAGAGGACGACCAGCCACGCUGGGACCGAGACACGGCCCAGACUCCUACGGGAGGCAGCAGUGGGGAAUUUUGGACAAUGGACGCAAGUCUGAUCCAGCCAUGCCGCGUGCGGGAAGAAGGCCUUCGGGUUGUAAACCGCUUUUGUCAGGGAAGAAACGCUCUGGGUUAAUACCUCGGGGUAAUGACGGUACCUGAAGAAUAAGCACCGGCUAACUACGUGCCAGCCGCCGCCGUAA